Molecule: ribosomal RNA, 465 nt
Filed under: uncultured bacterium
Lineage: Bacteria
Description: partial 16S ribosomal RNA
Rfam family: Bacterial small subunit ribosomal RNA
Source: RNAcentral
CCUACGGGAGGCUGCAGUAGGGAAUCUUCCACAAUGGGCGAAAGCCUGAUGGAGCAACGCCGCGUGGGUGAAGAAGGUCUUCGGAUCGUAAAACCCUGUUGUUAUAGAAGUAAGUUCGUGAGAGUAACUUUUCACGUUUCGACGGUAUCUAACCAGAAAGCCACAGCUAACUACGUGCCAGCCGCCGCGGUAAUACGUAGGUGGCAAGCGUUAUCCGGAUUUAUUGGGCGUAAAGGGAACGCAGGCGGUCUGUUAAGUCUGAUGUGAAAGCCUUCGGCUUAACCGGAGUAGUGCAUUGGAGACUGGGAGACUUGAGUGCAGAAGAGGAUAGUGGAACUCCAUGUGUAGCGGUGAAAUGCGUAGAUAUAUGGAAGAACACCAGUGGCGAAGGCGGCUUACUGGACUGUAACUGACGUUGAGGCUCGAAAGCGUGGGGAGCAAACAGGAUUUGAUACCCGGGUAGUC